UACGUAGGGUGCGAGCGUUGUCCGGAAUUAUUGGGCGUAAAGGGCUCGUAGGCGGUUUGUCGCGUCGGGAGUGAAAACCUUGGGCUUAACUCAGGGCUUGCUUUCGAUACGGGCAGACUAGAGGUAUGCAGGGGAGAACGGAAUUCCUGGUGUAGCGGUGAAAUGCGCAGAUAUCAGGAGGAACACCGGUGGCGAAGGCGGUUCUCUGGGCAUGAUCUGACGCUGAGGCACGAAGGCCAGGGGAGCAAACGGG
Molecule: ribosomal RNA, 253 nt
Filed under: uncultured bacterium
Lineage: Bacteria
Description: partial 16S ribosomal RNA
Rfam family: Bacterial small subunit ribosomal RNA
Source: RNAcentral